GAUGAACGCUGGCGGCGUGCCUAAUACAUGCAAGUCGAGCGAACAGACGAGGAGCUUGCUCCUCUGACGUUAGCGGCGGACGGGUGAGUAACACGUGGAUAACCUACCUAUAAGACUGGGAUAACUUCGGGAAACCGGAGCUAAUACCGGAUAAUAUAUUGAACCGCAUGGUUUAAUAGUGAAAGACGGUUUUGCUGUCACUUAUAGAUGGAUCCGCGCCGCUUUAGCUAGUUGGUAAGGUAACGGCUUCCCAAGGCAACGAUGCGUAGCCGACCUGAGAGGGUGAUCGGCCACACUGGAACUGAGACACGGUCCAGACUCCUACGGGAGGCAGCAGUAGGGAAUCUUCCGCAAUGGGCGAAAGCCUGACGGAGCAACGCCGCGUGAGUGAUGAAGGGCUUCGGAUCGUAAAACUCUGUUAUUAGGGAAGAACAAAUGUGUAAGUAACUAUGCACGUCUUGACGGUACCUAAUCAGAAAGCCACGGCUAACUACGUG
Molecule: ribosomal RNA, 497 nt
Filed under: uncultured bacterium
Lineage: Bacteria
Description: partial 16S ribosomal RNA
Rfam family: Bacterial small subunit ribosomal RNA
Source: RNAcentral